This 238-nucleotide ribosomal RNA is filed under the name uncultured Lactobacillus sp. RNAcentral's name for it is "partial 16S ribosomal RNA". It matches the Rfam family "Bacterial small subunit ribosomal RNA", at positions 125 to 356 of the family's 1533-position model. The record is from RNAcentral. Lineage: Bacteria; Bacillati; Bacillota; Bacilli; Lactobacillales; Lactobacillaceae.
CCGUAGCCCAAGAGAUCGGGAUAACACCUGGAAACAGAUGCUAAUACCGGAUACAACAGAUGAUGCCUAUCAACUGUUUAAAAGAUGGUUCUGCUAUCACUCUUGGAUGGACCUGCGGUGCAUUAGCUAGUUGGUAGGGUAACGGCCUACCAAGGCGAUGAUGCAUAGCCGAGUUGAGAGACUGAUCGGCCACAUUGGGACUGAGACACGGCCCAAACUCCUACGGGAGGCAGCAGCG